This 657-nucleotide ribosomal RNA is filed under the name bacterium TN83C. Its description in RNAcentral is "bacterial SSU rRNA". It matches the Rfam family "Bacterial small subunit ribosomal RNA", at positions 876 to 1531 of the family's 1533-position model. The record is from RNAcentral.
GGGAGUACGGCCGCAAGGCUAAAACUCAAAGGAAUUGACGGGGGCCCGCACAAGCGGCGGAGCAUGCGGAUUAAUUCGAUGCAACGCGAAGAACCUUACCAAGGCUUGACAUGAACCGGUAAUACCUGGAAACAGGUGCCCCGCUUGCGGUCGGUUUACAGGUGGUGCAUGGUUGUCGUCAGCUCGUGUCGUGAGAUGUUGGGUUAAGUCCCGCAACGAGCGCAACCCUCGUUCUAUGUUGCCAGCGCGUUAUGGCGGGGACUCAUAGGAGACUGCCGGGGUCAACUCGGAGGAAGGUGGGGACGACGUCAAAUCAUCAUGCCCCUUAUGUCUUGGGCUUCACGCAUGCUACAAUGGCCGGUACAAAGGGUUGCGAUACUGUGAGGUGGAGCUAAUCCCAAAAAGCCGGUCUCAGUUCGGAUUGGGGUCUGCAACUCGACCCCAUGAAGUCGGAGUCGCUAGUAAUCGCAGAUCAGCAACGCUGCGGUGAAUACGUUCCCGGGCCUUGUACACACCGCCCGUCAAGUCACGAAAGUUGGUAACACCCGAAGCCGGUGGCCUAACCCUUGUGGGGGGAGCCGUCGAAGGUGGGACCGGCGAUUGGGACUAAGUCGUAACAAGGUAGCCGUACCGGAAGGUGCGGCUGGAUCACCUCCU